RNAcentral lists this ribosomal RNA (253 nucleotides) under unidentified marine bacterioplankton. RNAcentral describes it as "partial 16S ribosomal RNA". It matches the Rfam family "Bacterial small subunit ribosomal RNA", at positions 56 to 339 of the family's 1533-position model. RNAcentral also lists the same sequence under 1 other name. The record is from RNAcentral.
UGCAAGUCAAGGGGCCUUCGGGUCACUGGCGCACGGGUGAGUAACGCGUAGAUAAUCUACCCAUAUCUCUGACAUAACUGCUGGAAACGGUAGCUAAUAUCAGAUGAGGCCUACGGGUCAAAGUUUUAAUGGAUAUGGAUGAGUCUGCGUCUGAUUAGCUAGUUGGUAGUGUAAUGGACUACCAAGGCAACGAUCAGUAACUGGUCUGAGAGGACGAUCAGUCACACUGGAACUGAGACACGGUCCAGACUCC